RNAcentral lists this ribosomal RNA (484 nucleotides) under uncultured bacterium. RNAcentral's name for it is "partial 16S ribosomal RNA". It matches the Rfam family "Bacterial small subunit ribosomal RNA", at positions 30 to 507 of the family's 1533-position model. The record is from RNAcentral.
AUUGAGCGCUGGCGGCAGGCCUAACACAUGCAAGUCGAGCGGAUGAAGGGAGCUUGCUCCUGGAUUCAGCGGCGGACGGGUGAGUAAUGCCUAGGAAUCUGCCUGGUAGUGGGGGAUAACGUCCGGAAACGGGCGCUAAUCCCGCAUACGUCCUGAGGGAGAAAGUGGGGGAUCUUCGGACCUCACGCUAUCAGAUGAGCCUAGGUCGGAUUAGCUAGUUGGUGGGGUAAAGGCCUACCAAGGCGACGAUCCGUAACUGGUCUGAGAGGAUGAUCAGUCACACUGGAACUGAGACACGGUCCAGACUCCUACGGGAGGCAGCAGUGGGGAAUAUUGGACAAAGGGCGAAAGCCUGAUCCAGCCAUGCCGCGUGUGUGAAGAAGGUCUUCGGAUUGUAAAGCACUUUAAGUUGGGAGGAAGGGCAGUAAGUUAAUACCUUGCUGUUUUGACGUUACCAACAGAAUAAGCACCGGCUAACUUCGUG